This 253-nucleotide ribosomal RNA is filed under the name uncultured bacterium. RNAcentral's name for it is "partial 16S ribosomal RNA". It matches the Rfam family "Bacterial small subunit ribosomal RNA", at positions 524 to 776 of the family's 1533-position model. The record is from RNAcentral.
UACGGGGGGGGCAAGCGUUGUUCGGAAUUACUGGGCGUAAAGGGCUCGUAGGUGGCCAACUAAGUCAGACGUGAAAUCCCUCAGCUUAACUGGGGAACUGCGUCUGAUACUGGAUGGCUUGAGUUCGGGAGAGGGAUGCGGAAUUCCAGGUGUAGCGGUGAAAUGCGUAGAUAUCUGGAGGAACACCGGUGGCGAAGGCGGCAUCCUGGACCGAUACUGACGCUGAGGAGCGAAAGCCAGGGGAGCAAACGGG